GGAGGAGGAGGGGGUGGAGGACAAGGGGAAGAGGAGGAAGAGGGGGAGGAGGAGCCAUUUUAUCACAUUGGAGCUGCACGCUGCUGCUCUGAAACCGACCACCACCUUCUGUUGGGAUCCCGUGCUUGGAAUCAAACUUUUUUGCUUCAUGAUUCACACCUCCCAUCCCUCUUGCUACUGUUUUUUGAAGUGACAGCAAAGGCAUUUUUUUUUUUUGGAACUGCAUUCCUUAAGAUUCCACCUGCCACCUAAUCAUUAAGUCCCUGCAGAAAGGAAGUAUCAGACACAAAAAACGAAAGAGCACUUCUCCCCUGUCUUCUCUCCUUUCAGCAUCAGGUGUCUCCAUGAGCUAGAUGGAGUCUCACCCUGUCACCCACGCUGGAGUGGAAUGGUGUGAUCUCAGCUCACUGAAACCUCCGCCUCCUGGGUUCAAGCCAUUCUCCUGCCUCAGCCUCCCGAGUAGCUGGGAUUACAAGUGCCAUCCACCAGGCCUGGCUAAUUUUUGUAUUUUUAGUAGAGACAGUGUUUCACCAUGUUGGCCAGGCUGGUCUUGAACUCCUGACCUCAGGUGAUACGCCCGCCUCGGCCUCCCAAAGUGCCAGGAUUACAGGCGUGGGCCACUGUGUCCGGCCUCUUGGACAGGGUUUAAAUGGACAAUUGUGUUCCCAGAUCUUAUUCCGUGUGCCUGCCAUCGCUAGCAUCAGAUGAGAACUGCCCCCUUGAUUUCCACGUUUGUAAGGGUGUAAAUAAAGAACAGUAUUUUUUCUAGGAAUAAAG
Molecule: long non-coding RNA, 777 nt
Filed under: Homo sapiens (human)
Lineage: Eukaryota; Metazoa; Chordata; Mammalia; Primates; Hominidae
Description: HSALNT0101530
Source: RNAcentral